UUUGAGGAACUUCAUCAAAGACAAAGUCAAUGGACAGUUCCAGACACCGAGUUACGAGAAUCAUUGAGGCUUGCAGUUGCUGAAGUCUUACUGCCUGCAUACAGAUCUUUCAUCAAACGAUUCGGGUAUGAUAUCUUAACCAAUUAUGUUAGUAUUUACUGCCUGCAUACAGAUCUCUCAUCAAACGAUUCGGGUAUGGUAUCUUAACCAAUUAUGUUAGUAUUUAUUUUUGGUAUGAUGGUUUUCGGAAAACGCUUGAAUCACUAGAGGAUUGUUGGUCAAUUGAUACAUUUCGAAAUGUGUGAUUAUUAGCAUCCAAAAGUUGUUGCCUCAAACUUUAGUUUACUCAGUUUAGC
Molecule: long non-coding RNA, 356 nt
Filed under: Nicotiana benthamiana
Lineage: Eukaryota; Viridiplantae; Streptophyta; Magnoliopsida; Solanales; Solanaceae
Description: long non-coding RNA (NBEN_LNC039807)
Source: RNAcentral